Molecule: long non-coding RNA, 484 nt
Filed under: Homo sapiens (human)
Lineage: Eukaryota; Metazoa; Chordata; Mammalia; Primates; Hominidae
Description: HSALNT0091971
Source: RNAcentral
CAAAAACAGAGGACAGACAAAUAUGUCCAUCUAUUUCCUAGAGCUGGGAUGCAUUCUUCCUCUCCUAUCCUUGGACAUCAGAACUCCAGGCUCCGGCCUUUGGACUCCAGGGCUUAACACCAGCAGCUCCCAGAUUCUCAGGCGUUCAGCCUCCAACUGAGAGUUACACCAUUGGCUUUCCUGAUUUUGAGGCCUUCAGACUUGGUUUAAGCCAUGCUACCAGCAUCCCAGAGCAUCCAGUUUGCAGAUGGCCUAUUGGGAGACUUCCCACCCUCCACAAUUAUAGCUACUAUGUUAUGAUAUCUCAAACUAAUAUUUGAGACUCCUUGGCUUGAUAACUAUGAUUCCAUUGAAGAUGACUAUUGAGUUGAAUGGCUCUGUUUUCCAUCAACGAUGACAGCUUUUAAUCACAGAUCUCAAGCCCAUUAUGAACAUUAAUUAAUGUCUGACAUCGCUUAAUGAGUUCCCAAGAAAACACUUGAAA